This is a long non-coding RNA of Chenopodium quinoa (quinoa), 1355 nucleotides long. RefSeq lists it as uncharacterized. Lineage: Eukaryota; Viridiplantae; Streptophyta; Magnoliopsida; Caryophyllales; Amaranthaceae. The transcript is spliced from 5 exons. The record is from RefSeq and is a predicted model, not a curated record.
UUUAUUUACCAUUAUACCUCCAUUGUUGAUUGUUUGUCUCUCUAUGCGUUAUCCUUGAUGUGAUUGACUAAUGCUUUUCCUCUUUCUUCCUCAUAAGCUUCCCUUUUUCUCCUUCCUCCUCUACCUCUCUACUCUCUCUCCUCGAUUGAAGCAACUCCAUCGAAGUAGUUUCUGCGGUGAAGUAAACUAUUAGUUCUCCAUUGAAGCGCCUACCGUGCUUUAUCUCCUCCAUCGAAGUAGUUUCUGACUUGCUGCGGUGAGCUGUUGAAUUUGUAAGCUCAAUUUAGCGCAAUCGAAGUGGAAUUGCUGAACUGUGCAUUUAGAUAUUCUUCAAAUUGACGCUCAGUUGAUUGUUGGAGUUGGCUGUAAACACAGCACAAAACAAGAUUGCAAUGAUGGAUGUGCAAAUAAGGCUAUUAUGGUGGCGUUCCCGGCAAGGAUAACAAAUUCGAGUGCUUAGAAGUGUCAGAAUAAUUAAUGGUUGCUUUGAGAGUUUGAGUCCACUAAAGGGAAUGAGCAUUAAAGGAAAAAGUAGUCUCGCUCAAGGCCAAAUGUGAUUGAGAGGCUUGAAAAUCUGAGAGGGAGAGGCAUUGCUUCAAUGUAUUCGUGGUCUUCUUAAAGGUAGUCAUACAUUAUCUUGUCAUCAUUAUUUUUUAAGGCUCAAUACGUAAGUUUUCAUAUUCUUCUAAGAUGUCUAACCCUUGUUGGACAUGAAUAUAGCAAGGUAGUGGUGGAAUCAUAGUUAGUGUUAUAAGUUGCAUACUACUAAUUUGGAUGCAUAGUAGUGUAGCUGAAGUAGAUGUAGCAAAAACUUGAAUGUUCUAUAUGAAGCGCAAGGAACUAAGGAACUCAAGUGUGGGCUGGUGAAUCCGUUGGGUUUCGUAGACUGCAAUUACAGAAAAGUGAUGUCCAUGCUCAUGAUAUUAAAUUUACAAGGGUAUUGGUUCAUUUAAAAGUUCGUGAAAGUGAAAUCCGAAAGAUCAUAUGAGCAGCUCUAGCAAGGAGGGGGGAAAAAAAAACUAGAAGCUAAGACAAAGGUUGGUCAAAUACAGCAACUAGAACCCGUGUCCAAGUGCAAAGCCACAUUUCUUGAUGUAUUGGAGGCGUGCUUGCAUCACACAAAAGAAGUCAGUUUCAACCAUUCUUUACAAUUACUGGUAUUGUCUUGUCAUGAAUGUCUCAAGCAUUCUUCGAAUUGGCAUCUAUUAAUCUAAAGUUUUUAUCGACAUGGACCCAGGCCAUAAUUGAAAGUUAAAAUCAUUGUAAUUAUAACACCAUAUAUCUGUACAAGUAAUUAAACAGGUUCCUAUCUUUCAUACUUGUUCGUUAUAAUGCAAGCUUAUUUUGGUCGAUAA